This 469-nucleotide ribosomal RNA is filed under the name uncultured bacterium. RNAcentral describes it as "partial 16S ribosomal RNA". It matches the Rfam family "Bacterial small subunit ribosomal RNA", at positions 28 to 507 of the family's 1533-position model. The record is from RNAcentral.
GAUGAACGCUGGCGGCGUGCUUAACACAUGCAAGUCGAACGGUGAACACGGAGCUUGCUCUGUGGGAUCAGUGGCGAACGGGUGAGUAACACGUGAGCAACCUGCCCCUGACUCUGGGAUAAGCGCUGGAAACGGCGUCUAAUACUGGAUAUGUGACGUGACCGCAUGGUCUGCGUUUGGAAAGAUUUUUCGGUUGGGGAUGGUCUCGGGGCCUAUCAGCUUGUUGGUGAGGUAAUGGCUCACCAAGGCGUCGACGGGUAGCCGGCCUGAGAGGGUGACCGGCCACACUGGGAUUGAGACACGGCCCAGACGCCUACGGGAGGCAGCAGUGGGGAAUAUUGAACAAUGGGCGAAAGCCUGAUGCAGCAACGCCGCGUGAGGGAUGACGGCCUUCGGGGUGUAAACCGUUUUUAGCAGGGAAGAAGCGAAAGUGACGGUAUCUGCAGAAAAAGCGCCGGCUAACUACGUG